AGUGGCCAUGAAGGCAACAUAAAAGCAAUGGUGUGCUGUAAAUAUUAAACAAGUUCUAAAAUAAUCAUAAUAAUAAUGUCCUGACUUUAUUACCUUGGUAUAAAUAACUGUCACAACUGAUUUCAAGACACCAAGGUGAGGUUCCUGAACAUGAAGUUGGAAGAGACGGCAGGGCGUGAUGGCUCACGCCUGUAAUCCCAGCACUUUGGGAGACCGAGGU
RNAcentral lists this long non-coding RNA (220 nucleotides) under Homo sapiens (human). RNAcentral's name for it is "non-protein coding lnc-P3H2-6:1". The record is from RNAcentral. Lineage: Eukaryota; Metazoa; Chordata; Mammalia; Primates; Hominidae.